AUGCAGCAGGCGAUGUCCUUGCCCCCGGGAGCGGUCGGCGCGGUGUCCCCGCCGGCCGGCAUCACCACCGAGCAGAUCCAAAAGUAUUUGGAUGAAAAUAAGCAACUUAUUUUGGCCAUCCUUGAAAAUCAGAACCUAGGAAAGUUGGCUGAAUGUGCUCAAUAUCAAGCUCAGCUCCAAAAGAAUCUCUUGUAUCUAGCUGCUAUCGCGGAUGCCCAACCACCACAGAACCCUGCAAGUCGCCCCCAGAUGGUGCAGCAGCCUGGUAGUAUGCAAGGUGCAGGGCAUUACAUGUCACAAGUACCAAUGUUCCCUCCAAGAACGCCUUUAACCCCACAGCAGAUGCAAGAGCAGCAGCAAGCCCAGGCCCUUUCUUUCCCCGCCCAGAUGGUCAUGAGACCAGGCACCAUCAACGGCAUGCAGCUGCCUAUGCAAGCAGCCGGCGACCUCCAGCCAGCAGCAGCACCUGGAGGUAGCAAGCAGGACGCCGUAGUGGCUGGGGCCAGCUCGGAACCAUCUGGCACCGAGAGCCACAAGAAGGCGGGAGCAGAAAAGGAGGUGAGCGCUGAUGUAGCAGAACAAUCCUAA
This 588-nucleotide ribosomal RNA is filed under the name Triticum aestivum (bread wheat). RNAcentral's name for it is "partial small subunit ribosomal RNA". Lineage: Eukaryota; Viridiplantae; Streptophyta; Magnoliopsida; Poales; Poaceae. The record is from RNAcentral.